AUGCCACCACAACCACAAACACAUACUGUUGUAGUAGAGCCUGUGAGUAACAUUACAAACAGUAGUGUGGGUGCCAGAAGGGGAAAAAGGGUUACUCGGGAGCAGGAAUCUGAUGAUGAGCAGCAGAGAAAGAGAAUUCGGGACAUACUUACAGCACCUACAGAUGAAGAGUCGUUUGAGGGAUUCUCUGGGGAUGAUGGGUCAAUGAGUGAAGGAGAAGAAGGAGACACAAUGGAUUGGACUAAGAUAAGAGAAGUGCAAGCUAUUUGUGAGGUACCAACAACUAGUGAUACCUUUAUGGGGUUCUCUGGGAGUGAAGACUGGCAAUCAAGGGAUCCAACCGAUUUUUGGGGGGAUCUAAGUCUUGACAGGAGAUGGAGGAAUUGGAGGGAGAGUCAAAGGAAUUCACGUGAAGAGCUGGGAGCAGCUGCAGGGGAUGGUGACGGGGCGGUGGUCAGUUCAUCCUCUGAUGAUGGGAGACUGAGUGAAGGAGACAUAGGCUUGCGGAGCGGAGGAACGAUGCCACUGAAUACCAAUUAACAACCAUCAAUGCCACCAGAUUUAAGGCAGUGGUGUAUGUAUGCAGGAGGGAGGUUACACAGCUAAUACUAUUAGGGAAGUAAUAUUCUAGAGAAAGAAUUUCAUUUUUAUUUUAAAUAUCUAUAUAUAUAUAAAUCUGUUCUGUCCAUUUCUACCUUAAUAAAAACAGUGAAACUACAAAACCCAGAACCAUGAAACUUGGCAACAAAACACAUGGUCCUCCCCACUGUGUUUAGAUGACAAAACCAAAACACAAUUAAAAGUCCAUGUCCCUCAGAAUCCCAAAAUUCAAAAACAGCUAUGUGCGCAUGCACGGAGCUGGCCCCUGCCCCCACCCUUGGAAGACAUACAGAUAUUUCAGCAGUGCACGAGCAGCCCAACCACCAUGGCAGACGGCUUGCCUUACGCUGGGGAAGACGACGCGGCUGAGGAAAAAAAGGGGGAAAGCUUUCCCCGUCUCAAGCAUCCAAAAACUAAUCAGUGAGGGACAAUCGGACAUUUGCGAACGCGCCUGGGGGCGGGGGGGGGGGGGGGGGGACAACACUCUGAAAACAGGUGAAUUGCACACAAGAAACAAACAGGGCCAGCUAACACAUCCCAACAAAGGAUUCACCCAGGCAGGAAUCAGCCAGGCUUUAAAGUUGCAAAGCCAUUACAUGCUAAUCAUUCUGGCUAAUUGCAGCAUUCAUACUUCCCUCCAACAGACAAAAAAACAAACAAACAGAAAUACUGUAUAUUAACAAGCUUUAGGAAACAAUAUCCCCUAAUGGUGCAGCAUGUUAAAGCGCUGAGCUGCUGAACUUGCAGACCGAAAGGUUGCAGGUUCACAUUGGGGAAGCACAGUGAGCCCUCACUAUUAGCCCAAGCUUCUACCAACACAGAAGUUAGAAAACAUGCAAAUGUGAGUAAAUCAAUAGGUAACGGUACUCCAAGCAGUCAUGCCAGCGGCCACAUGACCUUGGAGGUGUCUACGGACAAUGCCGGCUCUUCAGCUUAGAAAUGGAGAUGAGCACGAACCCCCAGAGUCAGAGACAACUGGACUUAACGUCAGGGGAAAAACUUUACCCUUUACCUUAACUACCACCAGUUCUUCAAUACUUUAUUUCCCAUACCACCAUACUUCGCCACAGCAACGCGUGGCCGGGCACAGCUAGUAUUUUACAAGAAUGUAUUCUACUGUAUAUACUUGCAUGUAAGUCGACCUCAUGCAUAAGUCAAAGGAAGGUUUUGAGGCCAAAAUUAUGGAUGUUGAUAUGACCUCUAGAUAAGUCGAGGGUCACUCCACUGAGUGGUGAAUGCACCGUGAUAGGGGAACCAUGGC
Molecule: long non-coding RNA, 1861 nt
Organism: Anolis carolinensis (green anole)
Lineage: Eukaryota; Metazoa; Chordata; Lepidosauria; Squamata; Anolidae
Source: Ensembl